Molecule: long non-coding RNA, 1628 nt
Filed under: Salmo salar (Atlantic salmon)
Lineage: Eukaryota; Metazoa; Chordata; Actinopteri; Salmoniformes; Salmonidae
Description: lncRNA (ENSSSAG00000109893.1)
Source: RNAcentral
GCGCGUCCAUGGCCUCGUACCUCCGCCUCUCUGCCUUGGCUGCCUCAAUUUCCCACUGCGGGCGGCGAUAAUCCCCAGCCUGGUGCCAAGGUCCGGCCCCGUCCAGAACUUCCUCCCAGGUCCACUUCUCCCGCCAGUCCAACUCGAAGUCCCUCUGCUCCUUCCUCUGCUGCUUGGUCCAUAGUUGGUGGGUGAUUGUCACGCUUUUCGUCGGUUAAAGAGGACCAAAACGCAGCAGGUAAGUGCAGGCUCAUCUUGACGUUUAUUUAUUUUCAAAAUGAAUACCAAAAUAACAAAACACUAGAACGAACGAACAACAACAACAAACAGUCUGGCAAAGCAUAAGGCUCAACACAGAACAAUCACCCACAAAUAACAAACACAAACACACCCUCAUAUAUGGGACUCUCAAUCAAAGGCAGAUAGACAACACCUGCCUUCAACUGAGAGUCCCAACCCCAAUUAACCAAACAUAGAAACAGACAUACUAGACUAAACAUAGAAUACCUGAAAACCAAACAGUGCCCCAAAACCCCGGAAUACUUAAACCAAAUGCCCCUUCAACAAAACACACCAACCCGAACCACAUAAAACGAAUACCCUCUGCCACGUCCUGACCAAACUACAAUACCAAUUAACCUUAUACUGGCCAGGACGUGACAUAACCAUAAACAUUAAUGCCUUUCUUAAAAUCAAUACACAAGUAUAUAUUUUUAAACCUGCAUAUUUAGUUAAUAUUUCCUGCUAGCAUGAAUUUCUUUUAACUAGGGAAAUUGUGUCACUUCUCUUGCGUUCUGUGCAAGCAGAGUCAGGGUAUAUGCAGCAGUUUGGGCCGCCUGGCUCAUUGCGAACUGUGAAGACCAUUUCUUCCUAACAAAGACCGUCAUUAAUUUGCCAGAAUUGUACAUAAUUAUGACAUAACAUUGAAGGUUGUGCAAUGAAACAGCAAUAUUUAGACUUAGGCAUGCCACCCGUUAGAUAAAAUACAGAACGGUUCCGUAUUUCACUGAAAGAAUAAACGUUUUGUUUUCGAAAUGAUAGUUUCUGGAUUUGACCAUAUUAAUGACCAAAGGCUCGUAUUUCUGUGUGUUAAUUAUAUUACAAUUAAGUCUAUGAAUUGAUAGAGCAGUCUGACUGAGCGGUGUUAGGCAGCAGAAGGCUCGAAAGCAUUCAUUCAAACAGCACUUUCCUCCAUUUACCAGCAGCUCUUCACUGUGCUUCAAGCAUUGCGCUGUUCAUGACUUCAAGCCUAUCAACUCCCGAGAUUAGGCUGGCAAUACUAAAGCACCUAUUAGAACAUCCAAUAGUCGAAGGUACAUGAAAUACAAAUGGUAUAGAGAGAAAUAGUCCUAUAAUAACUACAACCUAAAUCUUCUUACCUGGGAAUAUUGAAGACUCAUGUUAAAAGGAACCACCAGCUUUCAUAUGUUCUCAUGUUCUGAGCAAGGAACUUAAACGUUAGCUUUUUUACAUGGCACAUAUUGCACUUUUACUUUCUUCUCCAACACUUUGUUUUUGCAUUAUUUAAACCAAAUUGAACAUGUUAAUUAUUUAUUUGAGACUAAAUUUAUUUUAUUGAUGUAUUAUAUUAAGUUAAAAUAAGUGUUCAUUCAGUAUUGUUGUAAUUG